Penaeus monodon (black tiger shrimp) is the source of this 167-nucleotide small nuclear RNA. RefSeq annotates it as U1 spliceosomal RNA. NCBI's taxonomy places the organism in Eukaryota, Metazoa, Arthropoda, Malacostraca, Decapoda, Penaeidae. The record is from RefSeq and is a predicted model, not a curated record. The transcript has a single exon.
AUACUUACCUGGCACAGGAGAUACCGUGAUCACGAAGGCGGUUCUCCUAAGGCGAGGCUCAUCAUUGCACCCCGGGUUGCCCGCUGACCUUGCGAUUAACCCAAAUGUGGUUAACUCGAGUGCGAAAUUUUUUUGUAAGCGGGGGACUCCGUUCGCGCUAUCCCCCU